CUCCCUACUCCCAGUAAAUGCCUUCAUUCUUGAAAAAGCCCUCCACUGCUCCAACCUACAGUGGGGGCUUGGUAGGAGGGAUAGGAAGAGCACA
Molecule: non-coding RNA, 94 nt
Organism: Vicugna pacos (alpaca)
Lineage: Eukaryota; Metazoa; Chordata; Mammalia; Artiodactyla; Camelidae
Source: RefSeq, a predicted model, not a curated record